Molecule: long non-coding RNA, 1266 nt
Filed under: Oncorhynchus mykiss (rainbow trout)
Lineage: Eukaryota; Metazoa; Chordata; Actinopteri; Salmoniformes; Salmonidae
Description: lncRNA (ENSOMYG00000075661.1)
Source: RNAcentral
AUGCGACGACACUGCUGGGUGAUAGUGCUGGCGGGGAUGUUGUCGUACUUCAACCCAGAGAGAGCCCUUGGAGCCCCGCAGAGAGAAGUCUCUCAAUCCAGGGCUGCAUCUCUCUCUUCUCCGCCCUACGUCGUCAUUCUCAUCUCUUGCUCGGGGCUCGUCUCCUUUGUUUUACUGCUCUUCACCUGUCUGUGCUGUAAGAAGGGAGGAGUGGGAUUCAAUGUAAGUCUCCAUCAUGUAAGAGACUUAUUCACACGUCUUGUCUAUUGUGUUGCACUGUCUGCAUGCAUGUUGUGUAGAUCAAUAGAUAUAGGCAUCAUAUUACACAUUGGCCCUUAGGGAAACUCUAAACAUUGAGGGCUGUAACAAUGUUAAAGCAUAUGGGAAUGUCCUGAUUUGUCAUGGAAGGGCCCAGCACCACAGGGGCGGUGGGCAUCCACAUAAUUCAAACCCUCUAUGAAUCUAUUGUCUUUGAAUCUGUGAUCUUUGGGAUGGUUCAUUGUUUCUUUGGCUGCAUGUGCAGCACCACAUUUUACCAGAAGUAUUACAGAUGUUGCAUGAGCCAGAAAGCUUAGGGUCUGUUUACAUUUAAUAGAUUUCCUCAUAUUAAAUCCAGAUCGGUCUUUCUUUGUGACAUUUCAGCCAGCACACUGGAUGCAUCUCAAUUAUCUAAAGUGGCUCCCCUCCUUCAUCUUAACUAAUGUGAAAACACAGGCAACAAGGGGAAAGUAAUAUGGUGUCUGCCCACCAGUUAUUUGUUUACGCUUGCCCAAUUUCUUUAGAAACGUAAACCACUUUAGGCUAUUGACACAUCCACUAGAAAAGCAGUCACCAACCCUCAUCCUGGAGAGCUUCGGGUGUGUAGGGUUUUGUUCCAGGACAGGCCAGAACUAACACAACGGAUUCAACUAAUCAACUACGGUAAUAAACAAGAGUUUAAUAAACUGAAUCAGGUGUGUUGGUGCUGGGCUGGAACAAAAACCUGCAAACCCUGUAUCUCCCGGGACCAGGCUUGGUGAUCACUGCUUUUCAAACUUACAAUAUCUCUAAUUCUUCUACGCUUCCUCUGUUCUUUCCUGUCAAAUCAGGAGUUUGACAAUGCAGAGGGGGAGGAGUGUUCUGGGGGUUCUAGCCCCGCCCAGGAGGACAGUCUGUCCUCUUGCCCCUCCCUCCCGGAGGUCUACACCCUCCCACUCAGGGACAGGGCUAACUGCCCCGCCCUGCAGGAUGGCUCAGGUAACUAAGGCAGACUCUCUGUAGCUGGAG